Molecule: unclassified non-coding RNA, 245 nt
Filed under: Hevea brasiliensis (rubber tree)
Lineage: Eukaryota; Viridiplantae; Streptophyta; Magnoliopsida; Malpighiales; Euphorbiaceae
Source: RNAcentral
GUUUUUCUGAUAAUAAUAAUCGGGUUUAGGGCUGUUUCACUUAGUUGAUAAUAAAUUUUAUUCAGGUUAGGGUUUUGAAAAUAUUAAUCUAGUUCAGAUUCGAAUAAGAUGAUUUUAACCCUACCCGUUGCAAUCCCUAUGAGAGGAUUAGCAUUUACCAGAUGGAAAAUUUUUGUUUUUAUUAAUGAAUAAAAAUAAGUUCACCAAUUUUUUAAUACUUAGUCUUUAAAGCACAUGCAUCUUUU